UACGUAGGUGGCAAGCGUUGUCCGGAUUUACUGGGCGUAAAGAGCGCGCAGGCGGUCGAAUAAGUCGAAUGUGAAAGCCCCCGGCUCAACUGGGGAGGGUCAUUCGAUACUGUUCGACUUGAAGGCAGGAGAGAGAAGCAGAAUUCCCGGUGUAGUGGUGAAAUGCGUAGAUAUCGGGAGGAAUACCAGUGGCGAAAGCGGCUCACUGGACCAUAACUGACGCUGAUGCACGAAAGCUAGGGGAGCAAACAGG
This 253-nucleotide ribosomal RNA is filed under the name uncultured bacterium. Its description in RNAcentral is "partial 16S ribosomal RNA". It matches the Rfam family "Bacterial small subunit ribosomal RNA", at positions 524 to 776 of the family's 1533-position model. The record is from RNAcentral.